Molecule: ribosomal RNA, 220 nt
Filed under: uncultured bacterium
Lineage: Bacteria
Description: partial 16S ribosomal RNA
Rfam family: Bacterial small subunit ribosomal RNA
Source: RNAcentral
ACGCUCGACACCUACGGAAGGCAGCAGUGAGGAAUAUUGGUCAAUGGGCGCUAGCCUGAACCAGCCAAGUAGCGUGAAGGAUGAAGGCUCUAUGGGUCGUAAACUUCUUUUAUAUAAGAAUAAAGUGCAGUAUGUAUACUGUUUUGUAUGUAUUAUAUGAAUAAGGAUCGGCUAACUCCGUGCCAGCAGCCGCGGUAAUCUGAGGCGGGCGUGGCAAGGC